This 133-nucleotide small nucleolar RNA is filed under the name Genlisea aurea. RNAcentral's name for it is "Small nucleolar RNA snoR74". It matches the Rfam family "Small nucleolar RNA snoR74". The record is from Rfam by way of RNAcentral. Lineage: Eukaryota; Viridiplantae; Streptophyta; Magnoliopsida; Lamiales; Lentibulariaceae.
AAAAAAGCAGGGAUUCUUCGCCAUUUGUGGAUGAAUCUCUCGUAAACUUCAGGUAUAAAAAAUGCAUUGUUAUUGGGUGAACCCUGGAGUUAAGACUUCUAUGAUAGAUGGUUCAGUAAACGGUGCAAUAUUU